UGUGACACCGGAUCAUGAGCGGUGGUAAUAAGGUGGGGGGAAGCGGUUUUCGGAAUCAGUGGGUGUAAAGGGUGCGUAGGUGUGUUGGUAAGUCAGGGGGGAAAUCACCGUGAUGAACUUGGGAAAUGGCAUGGAUACUAUCAGUCUUGAAUAUUGUGGAGGUCAGCGGAAUAUGUCAUGUAGCGGUGAAAUGCUUAGAUAGGACAUAGAACACCAAUUGCGAAGGCAGCUGGCUACGCAUAUAUUGACACUGAGGCACGAAAGCGUGGGGAUCAAACAGGAUUAGAUACCCGGGUAGUC
Molecule: ribosomal RNA, 300 nt
Filed under: uncultured Helicobacter sp.
Lineage: Bacteria; Pseudomonadati; Campylobacterota; Epsilonproteobacteria; Campylobacterales; Helicobacteraceae
Description: bacterial SSU rRNA
Rfam family: Bacterial small subunit ribosomal RNA
Source: RNAcentral